This 363-nucleotide unclassified non-coding RNA is filed under the name uncultured bacterium. RNAcentral describes it as "contains 16S-23S intergenic spacer region". The record is from RNAcentral.
UCCCUGUUACCAGGGCAGUCUGUCCAGAGAAAUCCAACUGGACAAAAGGGUUGCGCUCGUUGAAGGACUUAACCUAACAUCUCACGACACGAGCUGACGACGGCCAUGCAGCACCUGUCACUGGAUUCCCGAAGGCACAGUCUCCUUUCGGAGACCUUCCCAGGAUGUCAAACCUUGGUAAGGUUCUUCGCUUACCAUCGAAUUAAACAACACGCUCCACCGCUUGUGCGGGUCCCCGUCAAUUCCUUUAUGUUUUAAGCUUGCGCUCGUACUCCACAGGCGGGAUGCUUAACGCGUUAGCUUCGCUACUAUCAGGGUCGAUACUGAUAACAGCUAGCAUCCAUCGUUUACGGCGUGGACUAC